This 301-nucleotide ribosomal RNA is filed under the name uncultured bacterium. Its description in RNAcentral is "partial 16S ribosomal RNA". It matches the Rfam family "Bacterial small subunit ribosomal RNA", at positions 509 to 809 of the family's 1533-position model. The record is from RNAcentral.
CAGUAGCCGCGGUAAUACGAAGGGGGCUAGCGUUGUUCGGAUUUACUGGGCAUAAAGCGCACGUAGGCGGAUCGAUCAGUCAGGGGUGAAAUCCCAGAGCUCAACUCUGGAACUGCCUUUGAUACUGUCGAUCUGGAGUAUGGAAGAGGUGAGUGGAAUUCCGAGUGUAGAGGUGAAAUUCGUAGAUAUUCGGAGGAACACCAGUGGCGAAGGCGGCUCACUGGUCCAUUACUGACGCUGAGGUGCGAAAGCGUGGGGAGCAAACAGGAUUAGAUCCCUGUAGUCCCUGUCUCUUAUACAC